UUUCCGUAGGUGAACCUGCGGAAGGAUCAUUAGAAAGUGGUGGUACAGGGGGCCUCAUUCCUGAGGCUAGUCGCCCUGUAAAUCAUCCCCCUAGGCUGUUUAUGCUCGGGCCUGCUCUUGCUAAACUGGCCUAGGCCACUUUACCCUUGAUAAACUACUAUUGUUGCUUUGGCAGGUCGUGGCCUCGGCCCGUAGCACCUGCCAGAGGACCCAAACUCUUUUGUUAUGUGACGUCUGAGUACUAUAUAAUAGUUAAAACUUUCAACAACGGAUCUCUUGGUUCUG
Molecule: unclassified non-coding RNA, 285 nt
Filed under: plant metagenome
Description: partial contains small subunit ribosomal RNA, internal transcribed spacer 1, and 5.8S ribosomal RNA
Source: RNAcentral